RNAcentral lists this long non-coding RNA (1482 nucleotides) under Monodelphis domestica (gray short-tailed opossum). RNAcentral's name for it is "lncRNA (ENSMODG00000037996.1)". The record is from RNAcentral. Lineage: Eukaryota; Metazoa; Chordata; Mammalia; Didelphimorphia; Didelphidae.
GAGGUAGAACAGCCAAGUGAAAGAAGCCCCUGCUGUUUCCUGUUACCUGCAACACGCAGAAGCCUGCUCUCCUCCCUCUUUUUCCAUUUGUGUUCUCUUCCCAGUCUGUCUUGGUCUCUCUCUUUGUCUGUCUCUCUGUCCUCUCUAUCAUUGUCUCUAUCCUGCUCUGGCUCCCUCUUACCCUCCUUCCACCUCCCUUUCUCUCCUUCCAUCCCUCUCCCUAGUCUCCUUCCCUCUCUUUUCCUCAUCUCCCCCUCCUAUAUUUCUCUCUCUCCCAAGUUCCCCGUCUUCCCCACCCCCACUUCCUUAUACUGGCUCCCUUCCCACUGUCUCUCUCCUCUCCCUCUAGCUCUCCCUCUCCCUCUUUCUCCCUCUCUCUUUUCCGAGAUAUGGGUACAGGAUGCUGCGUAUACCGUCAAACUCCAUUAUUGCGUCCAUUACUUUUACCAAAGAUUUUCCCCCUCUCUUUUUAUUCUUUGUUUAAAAGGGAUAGCUCUCUGGGCAGGAAAGGUCUGGGGUGUAUUGGAAAGUGAAGACGUGGAUAAACAAAAGAUAUAGUGUGUGUCUGCUCCCUCAACUUGGCUUGGCACUCUAUAAUUGAAACUCCAACUGCCGGAUGGAACGGAGCUGUGCUGCUAGAUGCCACUAUUGAUGGCAGUGAAUGGGGAAGGAGAAAGAAAUCUCUUCUCCUCUCCCCCAACUCAGUGAGUUCCUCUCAAGAGCAACUCUUGCUGCUUCCUGGACUAGAUUGCCUCUCCAACUGCCUCACUUUUUAAUGGGUCACCUGGGAGCAUGGCCAGUCAAUUCUCAUCCAAUGCCAUCACUCCCUGAGUCAUACUUUGUAAAAGGAUAACAGAGUGUUAACAUCUAACAUUAACACAUCCUAUCCCCGGGGCUGGGGUUGGGGAACUAAAGCCCCCUCCAGUAUAAAACUAGUGCCGUCACUUCCCUUCCUUCUUUGCAGAGGUGAGUGGACUGUUCCAUAGAUUGGCAGACUAAGUAGCGCUGUUUGUUAGUUGUUUUUCAGUGUUACAGGGCAUGUCUCCAUGGUUGUGGGAGGGGAGAGAGAUGUUCAGAAAUGAGGGCACUGUCCAAACAGAAGAGAGCAAUCAUUUACAACAAAAUAAUGGGGAGCUGGGAAUAGUUUUGAACUGAUAGUUCUUUUCUGGUCUCAGUCCAAGUCCUUGAUGAUGGAUGCCCUUUCACUGCACCUUCUCCUUCUCAUUUCCAAGACCACGACUGAUUGAUCAUUCUCCUCUCUUCCAGAAUCACUAAAUUCCAAUGGCUCCAACCACCUUGAAAAUAAUGCGUAAAGUCCCUGUUUGGCUUUUCGAACAUGUCAUAACUUGGUCCCUUCCUUCCUUUCCAGACUCAUGAGACAUUCUAUUGAUGGCCCAACCACAGUGUCUUCUUGCUAGCCCUCCCAAACAGGACUCUAUUUUUUUCUCCCCAAGACUUAGAAUUGCCCAUCCUCAUGCCUGG